Molecule: signal recognition particle RNA, 300 nt
Filed under: Cebus imitator (Panamanian white-faced capuchin)
Lineage: Eukaryota; Metazoa; Chordata; Mammalia; Primates; Cebidae
Description: Metazoan signal recognition particle RNA (ENSCCAG00000002596.1)
Rfam family: Metazoan signal recognition particle RNA
About the family: The signal recognition particle (SRP) is a universally conserved ribonucleoprotein. It is involved in the co-translational targeting of proteins to membranes. The eukaryotic SRP consists of a 300-nucleotide 7S RNA and six proteins: SRPs 72, 68, 54, 19, 14, and 9.
Source: RNAcentral
GCCGGGCGCAGUGGCAUGUGCCUGUAGUCCCAGCUUACUCGGGAGGCUGAGGUGGGAGGAUCGCUUGAGCCCAGGAGUUGUGGGCCGUAGUGUGCUAUACCGAUCAGGUGUCUGCACUAAGUUCGGCAUCAAUUUGGUGACCUCCCGGGAGCGGGGAACCACCAGGUUGCCUAAGGAGGGGUGAACCGGCCCAGGUCAGAAACAGAGCAGGUUAAAACUCCCGUGCUGAUCAGUAGUGGGAUUGCACCUGCGAAUAGCCACUGCACUGCAGCCUGGGCAACACAGUGAGACCCUGCAUCU